Molecule: ribosomal RNA, 503 nt
Filed under: uncultured bacterium
Lineage: Bacteria
Description: partial 16S ribosomal RNA
Rfam family: Bacterial small subunit ribosomal RNA
Source: RNAcentral
GAUGAACGCUAGCGGCAGGCCUAACACAUGCAAGUCGAGGGGUAGCAGGAUUAAGCUUGCUUAAUUGCUGACGACCGGCGCACGGGUGCGUAACGCGUAUGCAACCUACCUUAUACUGGGGUAUAGCCCGGAGAAAUUCGGAUUAAUCCCCCAUAGUACUAAUGAAUCGCAUGGUUUAUUAGUUAAAGCAUUGCGGUAUAAGAUUGGCAUGCGUCCUAUUAGCUAGAUGGUGAGGUAACGGCUCACCAUGGCUACGAUAGGUAGGGGGCCUGAGAGGGUGGUCCCCCACACUGGUACUGAGACACGGACCAGACUCCUACGGGAGGCAGCAGUGAGGAAUAUUAGUCAAUGGGCGCAAGCCUGAACCAGCCAUGCCGCGUGCAGGAAGAAUGCCCUAUGGGUUGUAAACUGCUUUUAUUUGGGAAUAAACCUCUUUACGUGUAGAGAGCUGAAGUUACCAAAUGAAUAAGCACCGGCUAACUCCGUGCCAGCAGCCGCGGUAA